UAGAUUAAAGUCCGCUGGUUUGGGCAGCUAGUUGUUAAUUAGUGUUGUUUGUGGGAUCGAGGCCCGCUGAUCUAG
This 75-nucleotide transfer RNA is filed under the name Cnemaspis neangthyi. Its description in RNAcentral is "tRNA-Asn". Lineage: Eukaryota; Metazoa; Chordata; Lepidosauria; Squamata; Gekkonidae. The record is from RNAcentral.